UAACACGUAAAGAACCUACCUUAUAGACAGGGACAACUAUUGGAAACGAUAGCUAAUACCUGAUAAGAAAGAAACUCGCAUGAGAGAAGUUCGAAAGUCGGAGCAAUCUGACACUAUAAGAUGGCUUUGCGGUGCAUUAGCUAGUUGGUAGGGUAAAAGCCUACCAAGGCGACGAUGCAUAGCCGACCUGAGAGGGUGAUCGGCCACAUUGGGACUGAGACACGGCCCAGACUCCUACGGGAGGCAGCAGUU
Molecule: ribosomal RNA, 252 nt
Filed under: uncultured Gemella sp.
Lineage: Bacteria; Bacillati; Bacillota; Bacilli; Caryophanales; Gemellaceae
Description: partial 16S ribosomal RNA
Rfam family: Bacterial small subunit ribosomal RNA
Source: RNAcentral